CUCAAGAAUAAGUAGGCCAAAAGGAAAGGGAAAAGGCAAGAAAAAGAAACUAGAACAAGUUUAUUUGGCAUCAUCUGAAGGUGAGCAAUCCGAUUCACCAAUAUCAUAUGAUGAUUUUGAAGAACUGGUGCUGGAAGGUUUCGAAGCUAUAGAUGCCGAGGAAAGAGAACUAGUUCCAUGUGCUGAGACUAGAAUAGCAUCUGUUACUGGAAGUACACCGACACCACGAUAUGAGGCGGCACCCAAGGUGAAUCCCAAAAGAAUAAAAAAAAGAGGUGACUCAAAGCACCAUUCACGCGCACACAAGGAGCAAAAUGGUGAAUCCUGCGAGAAACACAAGGAGCAAAAAAAAAGGAUCUGUUUUUGAUUUUGU
Molecule: long non-coding RNA, 373 nt
Filed under: Brachypodium distachyon (stiff brome)
Lineage: Eukaryota; Viridiplantae; Streptophyta; Magnoliopsida; Poales; Poaceae
Description: long non-coding RNA (BDIS_LNC003220)
Source: RNAcentral